GUCCCAACUGUCAUUUUAGAUUCUGCACCAGAAGGAGACAGCGGCUUGAAAAAUAAAUCAGCCAACCAUCUUGAGAGUGAAUGUAACAGCUUAUUUUCUAAACUGAGUGAACUGGAGUAGAACUCACAGGCUUGCCUGCUUCUUCCUUGGAAUUGCAAAUCGCAUUAGAGAAGCUGCCCAGAAUGUCAGACUGCAAAGAAGAAAAAGGAUGACAAUCCCAUUUUCCUAUUAAUAGAAGAGGAGACUGGGCCCAGGCUGUGCAGAAACAGCAAGAGCAGCUGUAGUCACAGAUUGCUGGCUUCCAACUUGGGCCAUGAAACUUACCAGCUGGGUGACCCUCGUGAUUCUGUUAGCCCCUCUGUCAUGGAUUCCCCUUAUAACAUGGAAUACCUGCUGGGCCUUCCUCAUCUUGAAGGAACUAAUUCAUAUCUGUGGGUUGUAACUGGAAAACAUGUACUUUGCAUAAAGAGAAUGGCAGAGCACCAACGUGCAAAUGAAAACAUGCAGUUCCAUUCAACAUCAGGCCUGCACUCCAUCAUACGAAGCUGAGGGACAGCUCUUGCCUUGGCUGCCUCUUCAAGUCUCUUCUGAAAAUUGUAUGGGUGACCCUUCAUAAAGCAUUUCAGAUGCAACUCAGCCACAGCCCUGGGAAGAAAAUGGUGGCAGGAAAGUCAAAGGAAGCUCUGCUAAAGAAAACAGGAGGCCAGAAUGGGGAUGCACAUCUGUGAUCCCCAGCUCAUGGGAAGCUGAGGCCUGAACUACCUGAGAGAAUUUAUCACAUACACAGAAACAGAAGAAAACUGUGGGGGCAGGAGGCUCAGCCCCAAAAGCAGGAUUUGUACACAUCUCAGGCUCUUCUGGGCACCGGAGCUUUUCUCGAUUUGCCUACAGGCAUCCAGAUAAUUGGGUUGUACCCAUUGUGUCAAGAAGUGCAUCAACCCUUUAUCAGACUGGACUUUCUGAUGCUUCACUGUGAGCUUGUGCACUUACUCUCAUCUUCCACCAGUCUUGUAGACUUGACAUUCUUUUCUAACUUCAAUGGGAGUUUCUCUUUGAACAACUUUAAUUACCUUGUCUAAUUAAGCUCGUUUCGAUGUGUAAGCCACCACUCUGUCUUACAGCCCUUCCGUCCUCAGACUCCAAAUAAAGCUCUUUGUUC
Molecule: long non-coding RNA, 1159 nt
Filed under: Cricetulus griseus (Chinese hamster)
Lineage: Eukaryota; Metazoa; Chordata; Mammalia; Rodentia; Cricetidae
Description: lncRNA (ENSCGRG00015031941.1)
Source: RNAcentral